UAGAUUCACGGCCAGAGUGGUGCAUG
Molecule: non-coding RNA, 26 nt
Filed under: Homo sapiens (human)
Lineage: Eukaryota; Metazoa; Chordata; Mammalia; Primates; Hominidae
Source: RNAcentral